Molecule: ribosomal RNA, 362 nt
Filed under: uncultured bacterium
Lineage: Bacteria
Description: bacterial SSU rRNA
Rfam family: Bacterial small subunit ribosomal RNA
Source: RNAcentral
CCCGGAGAAAUUCGGAUUAAUACCGCAUAACAAUGCGAUUUGGCAUCAGAUUGCAUUUAAAACUCCGGUGGUCAAAGAUGGGCAUGCGUGACAUUAGCUGGUUGGUAAGGUAACGGCUUACCAAGGCGACGAUGUCUAGGGGUUCUGAGAGGAUGAUCCCCCACACUGGUACUGAGACACGGACCAGACUCCUACGGGAGGCAGCAGUAAGGAAUAUUGGUCAAUGGGCGCAAGCCUGAACCAGCCAUGCCGCGUGCAGGAAGACGGCCUUAUGGGUUGUAAACUGCUUUUAAUCAGGAAUAAACCCCGGUUCGUGAGCCGGGUUGAAGGUACUGGUUGAAUAAGCACCGGCUAACUCCGUG